RNAcentral lists this transfer RNA (70 nucleotides) under Candidatus Woesearchaeota archaeon. Its description in RNAcentral is "tRNA-Gly". Lineage: Archaea; Nanobdellati; Candidatus Woesearchaeota. The record is from RNAcentral.
ACGGCUGUGGUCUAGUGGUAUGACAUGACCCUCCCAAGGUCAUUGCCCGGGUUCAAAACAGCUUCUUGCU